Molecule: ribosomal RNA, 231 nt
Filed under: uncultured bacterium
Lineage: Bacteria
Description: partial 16S ribosomal RNA
Rfam family: Bacterial small subunit ribosomal RNA
Source: RNAcentral
UGGGCAACCUGCCCCUCUCUCUGGAUAACCCCGGGAAACCGGAGCUAAUACCGGAUACUCCGGCUGGAUCGCAUGGUCCGGCCGGGAAUGGUCCGCCGGAGAGGGAUGGGCCCGCGGCCUAUCAGCUUGUUGGUGAGGUAAUGGCUCACCAAGGCGACGACGGGUAGCCGGCCUGAGAGGGUGACCGGCCACACUGGGACUGAGACACGACCCAGACUCCUACGGGAGGCA